Nematostella vectensis (starlet sea anemone) is the source of this 773-nucleotide long non-coding RNA. RefSeq lists it as uncharacterized. The transcript is spliced from 3 exons. NCBI's taxonomy places the organism in Eukaryota, Metazoa, Cnidaria, Anthozoa, Actiniaria, Edwardsiidae. The record is from RefSeq and is a predicted model, not a curated record.
AAAUAAGUCGAAAAGAAAAUUCAUGUGUUUUGAUUUGCUAUAUGACUCGGAUACUCGCAUUGUUGUGUUUGUGGUUUGAAAAUAGUAAUUUUAACUGGUUUGUUAGUGGCUCUAGAGCGAGUUUACUAGAGUACCUGCCGAACACGAUACAACAACGCUGAUACUGAAAACCGCGCGAGUUCGCUAAACAACAACCACUUCAGCCAAACAUCCCAAAAGUAUGGUCAUGGUCGGCACAACAGAAAAAUCUCCAACCAAGCUUCACUGGUUUUGGUUCCCUUCUUCCUUCAAUAGCUGGUCUCCUUGGACGUGGAAUUGGAGUUUUGUUGGAACUGCCUGUCGGGAAGGUGAACACCAAACAGCUGGCAACGAGGGUCAGAUGAAGGCCACGCCUUCGCAGAAAAGUCCUAGUCCCGUGACCACCAAGUUGGAGGGAAAAACUGAGGACUAGGGAUCAGUCCUGCGAUCGUGUUGUCCGCGAGGAAUUGAGGACCAAGCACUAAUCAAGGACUAGUCCCAUUUGUUGGCGGUGAUGUCUUAUAAUACAGCCCCUCUCCCUUAUGGUACAAUUAGAUAGGAAGCUGUUUUGAGACUGUUUAGAAAUGAUAACAGUGAAGAGUUAUAAAGGGAUACUAGUAAAAAAAAAAAAUUUAGAAAGUCAAAACACGUGGUAAUUUUUUUUUAUAUCAAAACAGAUUGUUUGACUUAGAACCACUCUAUUCUAUAUAUGUAUGUAUCCACCAAAAAUAAAAUAAAAAUCAACUGUCAAACUA